AGCGAACGCUGGCGGCAGGCCUAACACAUGCAAGUCGAACGAACUCUUCGGAGUUAGUGGCGGACGGGUGAGUAACACGUGGGAACGUGCCUUUAGGUUCGGAAUAACUCAGGGAAACUUGUGCUAAUACCGAAUGUGCCCUUCGGGGGAAAGAUUUAUCGCCUUUAGAGCGGCCCGCGUCUGACUAGCUAGUUGGUGAGGUAAAGGCUCACCAAGGCGACGAUCAGUAGCUGGUCUGAGAGGAUGAUCAGCCACAUUGGGACUGAGACACGGCCCAAACUCCUACGGGAGGCAGCAGUGGGGAAUCUUGCGCAAUGGGCGAAAGCCUGACGCAGCCAUGCCGCGUGAAUGAUGAAGGUCUUAGGAUUGUAAAAUUCUUUCACCGGGGACGAUAAUGACGGUACCCGGAGAAGAAGCCCCGGCUAACUUCGUG
RNAcentral lists this ribosomal RNA (433 nucleotides) under uncultured bacterium. RNAcentral describes it as "partial 16S ribosomal RNA". It matches the Rfam family "Bacterial small subunit ribosomal RNA", at positions 29 to 507 of the family's 1533-position model. The record is from RNAcentral.